GGUAACCUGCCCUGUGCUGGGGGAUAACCUCGGGAAACUGAGAACAAUACCCCAUAGUCCACUACGCCUGGAACGGUGAGUGGAUGAAAGCCCCGGCGGCACAGGAUGGGCCUGCGGCGUAUCAGGUAGUAGGGGGUGUAAAGUACCCUCUAGCCUUCGACGCGUACGGGUUGUGAGAGCAAUAGCCCGGAGAUGGAUUCUGAGACACGAAUCCAGGUCCUACGGGACGCAGCAGUCGCGAAACCUUGACAAUGCGGGAAACCGUGAUCAGGGGACUCCAAGUGCCAGGAGUAAGAUCCUGUGCUUUUCUUUUCUCUUCAAAGGAUUUGGAAUAAGAGGUGGGUAAGGACGGUGCCAGCCGCCGCGGUAAUACCGGCGCCUCGAGUGGUAGUCGAUUUUAUUGGGCCUAAAACGUCCGUCGCCGGUCUGGUGCAUUCGUGGGUAAAUCAACCCGCUCAACGGGUUGAAUUCUGCGAGCACGGCCAGACUAGGGACCGGGAGAGGUGUGGGGUACGCUCGGGGUAGGGGUAAAAUCCUGUCAUCCCGAGCGGACCACCUGUUGCGAAGGCUCCACACUAGAACGGAUCCGACGGUCAGGGACGAAGCCUAGGGGCACGAACCGGAUUAGAUACCCGGGUAGUCCUAGGUGUAAACGCUGUGGACUUGGUGUUGGGAGCUCCCAGAGGGCUCUCAGUGCCGUAGCGAAGGUGAUAAGUCCACUGCCUGGGGAGUACGGUCGCAAGGCUGAAACUUAAAGGAAUUGGCGGGGGAACACCGCAACCUGAGGAUUGUGCGGUUU
This 799-nucleotide ribosomal RNA is filed under the name uncultured archaeon. Its description in RNAcentral is "bacterial SSU rRNA". It matches the Rfam family "Archaeal small subunit ribosomal RNA", at positions 103 to 903 of the family's 1478-position model. The record is from RNAcentral.